Ceratotherium simum simum (southern white rhinoceros) is the source of this 163-nucleotide non-coding RNA. The record is from RefSeq and is a predicted model, not a curated record. NCBI's taxonomy places the organism in Eukaryota, Metazoa, Chordata, Mammalia, Perissodactyla, Rhinocerotidae.
UGGGAGAAGGACCAGGACAGAGUAAGAGAUUAGGACACAGACACACAUGGAGGGAAGACCAUGUCAACACAGAGGAAGACAGCCAUUUACAAGCCAAGGAGAGAGGUUCAGAAGAAAACAACCCCUGCCGACCCCUGAUCUUGGACUUCUAGCCUCCAGAACU